GGGGGUAUAGCUCAGUUGGUUAGAGCGCAUCGCUGAUAACGAUGAGGUCCUAGGUUCGAAUCCUAGUAUCCCCA
Molecule: transfer RNA, 74 nt
Filed under: Planctomycetota bacterium
Lineage: Bacteria; Pseudomonadati; Planctomycetota
Description: Planctomycetes bacterium (subsurface metagenome) tRNA-Ile
Rfam family: tRNA
About the family: Transfer RNA (tRNA) molecules are approximately 80 nucleotides in length. Their secondary structure includes four short double-helical elements and three loops (D, anti-codon, and T loops).
Source: RNAcentral